Molecule: ribosomal RNA, 463 nt
Filed under: Vreelandella stevensii
Lineage: Bacteria; Pseudomonadati; Pseudomonadota; Gammaproteobacteria; Oceanospirillales; Halomonadaceae
Description: partial 16S ribosomal RNA
Rfam family: Bacterial small subunit ribosomal RNA
Source: RNAcentral
CCUACGGGAGGCAGCAGUGGGGAAUAUUGGACAAUGGGCGAAAGCCUGAUCCAGCCAUGCCGCGUGUGUGAAGAAGGCCUUCGGGUUGUAAAGCACUUUCAGUGGGGAAGAAAGCCUUGGGGCUAAUACCCUCGAGGAAGGACAUCACCCACAGAAGAAGCACCGGCUAACUCCGUGCCAGCAGCCGCGGUAAUACGGAGGGUGCGAGCGUUAAUCGGAAUUACUGGGCGUAAAGCGCGCGUAGGCGGUCUGAUAAGCCGGUUGUGAAAGCCCCGGGCUCAACCUGGGAACGGCAUCCGGAACUGUCAGGCUAGAGUGCAGGAGAGGAAGGUAGAAUUCCCGGUGUAGCGGUGAAAUGCGUAGAGAUCGGGAGGAAUACCAGUGGCGAAGGCGGCCUUCUGGACUGACACUGACGCUGAGGUGCGAAAGCGUGGGUAGCAAACAGGAUUAGAUACCCCGGGUC